UCAAUUGUUAUUGGAGCGAACCAGCACUGUUUUCCAGGGUUCUGCCCUGUGUCCCGAACGGACACGUGGAACUGAGAAGUUUGAUGUUUUCAGUCACUGAUCAGAACUGUAAUUUCAAAUAUCAAUCUUUAAUUUUUAAUCAUUGGGGCUGGAAUAAUUUUCACAACUUGCACUUGAGGUUGAAGUAAUUCAGUGUCUCACUGAGCCAUGAGCAGAGAUUUCUAACUGAGAAGCAGGAAUUUCACUUGUUAAAGCAGCAUUGUAUUUCAGAGUUUCAGCAUUCUUUAAACGGUCCUUCUCUUCGAGGUGAAUGGGAUCGAUUAAACUGCAAUAGAGACAAAACAGAUGAGUUAACCCUCCUAUAGCAUUUUGGUCUUGUAUUACACCAGGUCUGUGUAACGAGUCCCACAGUUCUGUAUUACACCUGAUCAAAACAAUGAACUGGUCAGUAAGAACCAACACGCCAACAAUUCCUUUCAUCACACAGAUGCUGCUCAAUCCCCUGCAUUUCCACAGCAAACUGUUUGUCUCUUGUUUCUGCCUAAGUUGCCGAAUUGUCUCUUGUAUCUGUUGUGGGCUGAUAUCCCAUGCUGGUAACACAUGCACCUUGUUGUGGAAUACAACGUCAUUUAUUACACCGAAACCAUGCAGCAAAAUCCCUCGUAAUAGCUCUGUAUUGCAAUGAAAUCAUUUAUUAUUCCUUGUAACAUUAGUGAGAAAUCUGUGUAUUAACAAGGGAACAGAAACUGAAUGAGACUUUCUAAAUGCUGCUUCCUGACUGCAUGGGCAUUGAUUUGAAGACCUUCACAGAACAACAAGGAUGUCCACCGAUGUUAAACAGUGAGUUGGUAUCUGCCCUAGGGGCUCUCUGGAGUUGAGCAUCACAGGAACAUUGGAUGGACACCACAACGGAACAUGUUUGAAAGUUGCAAUGAGAAGGGAUGUGUAAGCCGAGUGGCCAUAGACGCAUCAGCGUAAUAGUACGCUGCAGAGCAACAAUGCUAUUGUAGUGAUCAAUCUAGUCAAUUGCCCACAGCUGCUCUUGGAGUUAUUCCUCUUUGAUCCAAGGUGGAUGACCUCAGACUUUGCCUUCCAUCUGAAUGAGCUUUGCCCACGAACGACCUCUAUCAGUAUUCUGUUCCUAGCUAUUCCACCCUCCAAUAACCGUUUCCUUUUCCCCAUAACUUGCUGCGUUCCUCACACAUUUACCCUUCAGUAAAUAUUUGAAUGACAUGUUCAGCUCUGGGUUGGGGGAGCUGCGAAAGUCCAGUACUUACCAGAAGUUCAGCAGAUCACUCAGCCAGAACAGCAAGUUUGUUUAAUUUAUCUUUGAUCAUGUUUUCUGAAAUAAGAGAUAAUAUUAUCUAUUUGACAAAUUCAAUUUAAACUUUUUUUUUAAGUUGCAGUUUCUUUAAUCGAUGUACCGGACACUUGCAUUUCUGGAGAUACCUCCAGUUUGUCUGGUAUACGUUAUACACCGCAAUAGUAUAUGAGCAAAUACUACAACUUCCUCUCGUAAUCUCGAAUCAAAAAAUGACCCACAGAUAAUCUGAGUUGUCACAAGGUUCUGACAUUGCUACCGUCAGUCACGGACUGCGAGCUUUAUGCCUGUGUGUAAAGGGGAAAGAGAAUUGUUGUUGAACAAGACUUCAGUUCCUUUAACAGUAACGCGCAAAAGGCACUGAAAACUUUCAGAAGUGAAAAUAUCCCAGUUCCCAUAAAUGUCUCCUCUCCACGUUUCUGUGAAGCUUCCACUGGGCUCAUUGCUCAGACAACAUGCACACAGAACCCUAUCACCCACCAGCUAAUGAAUGCCACUCCCUAAACUCCAGGUACCCUCCAUUAGAUUGGAUCCAUUCCCCAGUAUCAAGUGCAUUCCAGAAAUGUCCAAUUCUGCCAUGAUGCUGAUCUCCAUUGCCCCAAAUGUCCAUCCUUAAUCUUCACAUCACUGUUGAUUUCCAUGCAUUCAAAUUUCUUUUUUUAACAUUUCCAUAAAAUGUAUUUCAGACAUUGUACAUAUAUAUCAUAUAUGUCACAAAUCUCCACAUAGUAUUUAUCUGAGGUAUAUACUUAUAGAAAAGAGUGGAAAGAAAAAAACAAGCAAAAGGAAAAAAACUAUGUACAAGUAGAGAGUGAUCUUUUUUUAACAACAUUUUCAUUAAUUUGUGAGAAUAAAAUCAGGGCUAUGAGGCAUUAUUUAGUUAAACCAUUUUUCCCAGUAUGAAUCAAAUUUUUCCAGUUUAUGAUUAACAGGUGCUGUUAUCUUCUCCAUUUUGUAAAUGUCCAUUGUAAUUUCCAUCCAUGCAUUUAAAGUUGGGCUCUCCUGUGAUAACCAUUUCCUAGUAACAGUCUUUUUACCAGCCACCAACAGUAUAUUCAUUAAAUAUUUAUCUCUUUUCAAACAUUCUUGAGGUGUAUAUCCAAAAUAUAUGGUUUUACUCUCCAAGGGUAUUUCACAUUUAAAGAUGUCUUGUAGGGCAUUGUGUAUCCCGCUCCAAUAGUCUUUGAUAACAGGGCAGUCCCAAAAAAUAUGAUGAUGAUUUGCAUUUUGAUUUCCACAAUUUCACCAGCAAACAGGGAGGUUACUACCAUAAUGGGAUUUCUGAGAGGGUGUAAUAAAAUAUUUAUCAAGUUUUUCCAUCCAAGCUACCUCCAUUUCUGUGAACUGGUACACUUCCAUUGAUACCUCCAUAUUAUUGUCCAUUCUUCCUCAGAUAUAAUUAUCCCUCCUUCCUUCUCACAUUUAGUUUGAAUGUAUGAAGUCAAUAGUGUUUGAAGAUUUGACAACCCUUUAUACAUGCUUGAAAUGAUUCUACUACUGUUAUCUGAAUUAUAUGCUUUUCUAAAUAGUUCUAUCAAGCAUGUACUUGCCUUGGUUACAUUUUUAAGUGUCUUAUUAACAUAUUGUCGCAUCUGUAAAUAGUGAUAAAAAUCUUGUUUUUCUGAUAAGUGAUUCUCUUUAAGCAUUUCAAAAUUGAACAGUGUUGCUUCUUUCAUUAUGUUGCAAAGAACUGUUAUUCCUUUAGCUGUUCUGUCCUUAAAUCUAGCAUCCAAUUUAUUUGGUGUAAAAUCCGAGUCAUAUGCACACCAUUUAAGAACUGCAAUAUCUUCCUCUAGAUUAUAUUCUUUUAUAGUAGUUUUCCAUAUGUUAAGAGUCAAUUUCACCCAUAGGUUAUCAAUAGUAUUUAUGUACCUUUGCAGCUUGUUAUCAGCCAAAAUUGCUUGUAUGGGGAUGGGAAGUACCCGCUCCUCAAUGUUUUUCCAUUGAGCGUCAUAUGAUGGGUUACACCAACAUAUCACAGCUCUCAACUGUGCUGCAAAAUAAUAAUCUCUAAGAGAAGAAUUUCAGAUUGUUCAGUGACUCCAUCCAUCUCAAUGAUAAAUGAAGUUGGGAUUUGUUGGAAGGAUGAGCUGCUGUUUCUCCCAAACACAUUCAGCACCGCUGAACACACUGAGGUUGGAGCAGAGGUGUCGUCCUUCUUUACUGCCCCGGAGAAUGGCAACAUGGACACGGACUGUAACUUGGGAGGUGCAGCUACAUUCUCUCAUCACCUCUGCCAGCCACGCUCAAUCCCUGAGGAUUCAAUACUGGGCUGGGGCUUGAGUGAGACUGGACUGCACAGGAAGAGAGAAUCGGUGUUGGAGUCACUCACCUGCCCCAGCAGAAUGGAGGGCAACCACAGACAACAUGACCAAAAGCCCGAGAAGGGAGAAUGCCUUCAUUAUUGCAGCUGUGAUGUCGAGUGGUGAGCUGCCGUUCCUCCCGUCCUUUAAAUACCCUCCUCUCAUCACAUCUCAGAGCUGUUCCUCCCCACCUCAGAUUCCAGGAAUAUCUUUAUCGUUUGUCACACUGAUAACCACCAGGUUGUGGUUUUGGAUUCCAGACUUCCUCGAGGAAAUCAAUUAACCAUUUAUGUUUCUGCAGCUGUUUGUCCAUUGGCCAAUGAAACGAGAGACAAUGUGAGGUGACCCUCAUUAGUGUUCAGAGUCCUGUAUUUGCUACACAGUCACUAUGUGUCACUGAGCACUGGGGUUUGCACAGCAAUGAAGCAAAUUUAGAGCCACACUGACAUCAGAAAAUAGAUACUCGCACAUUUCAUUCUUCCUUUGACAGAAUCUUUAAAUAACACACCAGAGUAGGCCCUAGAAUACCAGUGUGUUCCACUAUUAACUAGCCCUCUUCCCCCAGUGCAGGGAUCAGUUCAGGGGCAUUUCAGAAUGGUGAAGAAAUGCUGACAUUACUCUCUGUGUCACCUGGCGUCAAUAAACAAAACUGAUGCACAUGAAGAUUCCGUAUUCUGCCCAGACCAAAGAUCACAACAGGACCAGGAGGAGACCGCUCAGCCCCUCACCCAAUUCAGUGAGGUCCAGGCAGCCCGUGCAUCUCACCCCCUACAGACUGAACUAACAAGAUGCAACUGAUGCCACUCUCAGAAUCAAACAAAUCCAACUUCCUUCCUUACAACAUUCAACAUAGAACAUAGAACAGUGUAUGUUCUUUGGCCCACAAUGUAGUGUGGAUUUUUUAACUACACUAAAAUCAAUCUAACCUUUUCCUUCCCUCUCACAUAGCCCUCCAUUUUUCCUUCAUCCAUGUGCCUAUCUGAGAAUCUGUUAAAUGUCCCAUCAGUGUAAUGAUAGAAAUUUCACACUGACAGCACUGGACAUCAGGAUCAAACAUGGGUAAUGAAACCAUGAAGCUUCAGCUCCAUUAGCUGUGCUAAGCCACAGUUUCAGAGUGACCAGCCUCUUCCUGAAGAUAUUGUCCCAUUGCAGACACUUACCAAUUUUCCAUUCAGUGGUUAGCAAACCUCGUACUGGGAACCAAACAACUCCUGCAGUGCCUCUUCUGUAAUAGACAGACAGUGAUGUGUUGCCAUUGAAUUGAGCUGAUUCCUUAUGUUUCUACCCUGAAUCUGCUGCACAGACUGGAACCAUCUGGACCACAGUUGAGUAUUUGACACAUCUCCCUCCCCUGUCCCACCCUGCUUCAUGUCCCCCAUCAGAACACUGUUCUCCAUUGUCUCUCCAGUGUCAGAUUAAAAACAUCAAUGUAACCCAUUGUUGGAGAAGCUGUUCCCAGAGCAGAGCCAGGGAAGUGGUGGGAGGGGAACCUCACACAUCACUGUCAGCGCAGGGAGAGACAGAAGGGGAUGUGAAUACUUAUCCAGUUCUCGCAUGUCGAGCUCCCUCAGGGGCAGAGUCGGACUCGUACUCCUCACGCAGGGUCUCAUCUGGAAUAAAUACAACAGGGUGUAAGGUAUCCUGACCACUCAGAGUUGACUAUUUCAGAAAUGGCUGCCUGUCCCUCUGUUUAAUGUUCCCCACUGCACUGAAUCCAGAAUGGACAAUGUGUGCAUGGUAUAACAGCAAGGUGAGUAAUGAAUAGAUGGACUGUGGUGUAAAGACACAGUGUCUCUGCCAGGCUGAUGUGUUAUUAAUGAACCAGCACCAACUUACAUGACAACAUUAGUAAACAUCACCAGUUUCCUGUGGACCUGUAUCUGUGACUCUGAUCUCAUUUCAGUAUCCAGCACCUGUUGUCAGGCCUGCACAAGCUGGAACCAUCUAGUCUCCACCCAGAUAACAGGAGUCACCUACCACUCAUUUUCAACUCAUCACCUGCAGCCUAUUUAAAGCUUGCUCUCAUCCACAAUACUUGUUCUUUCAUACGAAUCAGCCAGCCUCAACCAUUUGCUCCUCAUCAUCUAUUACCUUGUUUCCAUGUCAGUGUUGAGUGUCUGUUCUCUCUUGCUUUGUGGCCCCUCAUAGAUUGUAAUUUUGCAGUUUAUUAUUAAAUUGAUCAAUCCCCACGAAAUAGUCUCUGUUGCUCCACAUUUGGGUCAAGUCUCCUCUACAAUUCCUGACACCCGCACACUUUCAGCAAUGGACUGGGUCAUCUGUUAAAGAAUGACUUCUUGUUAAUUCUAUUUUCCACAAAUUGUGUGUCCACUUCCUCCACCCCACCCUCUGAACUGUUGCACUUGGAUCACCCACAGCCCUUUGUCAAAGAUGACUGUUCUGUUCUCUUGCUUCUAAAACUUGGGCAGUGCAGGAAGUUCAAUGUUUUUCUCAGGUUUUACAGAAGACAGAACCAAUCUUUGAAGCCCAUGGUCUCUGCCACACUGUUGACCUGUAAACUCCCUCUCCCUCCAUCCAUCCAUCCAUCCAUCAGUAAUUUGUCCAGUAACUUUAUCCCUUCUGUUAAUUCCACCAGAAAUGGAAGCGUUGGCGUGGACAAACUCUCCUUUUUCCUCCCACACUGAAAGCAAGAAACAAUUUGUCUGAUAUUGUGCUCUUCAGGUAUUAUUCAGAAUUUUAGAUUGUUCAGUGACUCCAUCCAUCUCAAUGAUAAAUGAAGUUGGGAUUUGUUGGAAGGAUGAGCUGCUGUUUCUCCUAAACACAUUCAGCACUGCUGAACACACUGAGGUUGGAGCAGAGGUGUCGUCCUUUACUGGCCUGGAGAAUGGCAGCACGGACACAGAUUAUGACUUGGGAGGUGCAGCUACAUUCUCUCAUCACCUCUGCCUGCCAUGCUCAAUUCCUGAGGAUUCAAUACUGGGCUGGGGCUUGGCUGAGACUAAGCUGCAGAGGAAGAGAGAAUCAGUGUUGGAGUCACUCACUUGCCCCAGCAGAAUGGAGGGUGACCACAGACAACACGACCAAAAGCCUAAGAAGGGAGAAUGCCUUCGUUAUUGCAGCUAUGAUGUUGAGAGAUGAACUGCCAUUCCUCCUAUCCUUUAAAUACCCUCCUAUCAUCACAUCUCAGAGUUGUUUCUCCCCACCUCAGCUUCCAGGUAUAUCUUUAUUGUUUAUCACUCUAGUAACCAUCAGGUUUGUUCUUGGGGCUCCAGAUAAUAAUCAAUCGAGACAAUGUCACAUCUCAACUCCUUCCCCGUAAAGUCUAGAAGCUUUUAUUGUACUCCCAUUUCUUCUGUCUGUUCCUAUUAUUCAAAUGAAGAAAGCAGCUGAUCUGAGAGAGUCGGGAGAAUAUGAAUCGACUCAAGAGUGUAGUGCUGCUGAGGGAAGAGGGGGAAAUUUUGUGACUUUGGUGACUGACCCGGAAGAGCCUGUCUCACCAACCCUGCUUCUCUAUUUUCCUCCACCUUUCAAACCCUCUCAUUUGUGAACAUUUCCCAUCCUCCCUCUGCUCACUCCUCCUACUCUGCCCCUCGGUGCCUCUGUGAUUCUCUAUCCGAUACCCUGCAACAUGUGACACCAGUGAUGCUGUGUCAAUGCCCACUGUCAGUGCUAUUCAUAGGUUCAUGAAAAUAAACUCCCCACCACGAGGGGUCAAAACUUUUCAACAACGUGCAGAGGAACCAUCUUCUGGAACCAAGCACCAGUGAGAUGUUUCCCUUUGUGAAUGCCAGAUUUUCCAUGUGUGAUUGAAUGAUGGAGGGCCAAUGAGAGCACUGGAUGGUUCAGAGUGAAAGACCCCAAAUGAUUCUGCAGGGCAUUCAUUUGCUGCCGGGCACUUUACAUUUGAUCCUGGUUGUAAAUAUACUGGAAUGCUGAUUAUAAGAUUCACAAGGAGAUGAUGUAAGAAACACUGGGAAGGCCAGGCAGCAUCUGUAGCAACAGCAGAGUGGGUUUAAGCUUCAUGUUGAAGACACGUCAUCAUACUUGGUUCCACAGAUGCUAAGGACAAGUGUUCCUGGGAUGUUCUUACUUUUCACUGCAGUGAGGUGUCUCAACUCACUUUAAUCAUGUGUUGGGAGGCUGGUGCGUUUGAUGAUAGCAGAUGCAAAUUGUCCAUCAGUGAAAUGCCUCCACAAACUUUCAGAUAAUGUUUAUAAUGAGUUAUUCAUUCUGAGUUCACUUUAGCUGAAAUUAUGACAUAAAACCAAGUUAAUUUUUCAUAAAUUUGAUAGGAAAGCAGAGAUAUGUACAAUCUAUAUUGAACUUAUUCAGCAUUACUGUGUGCAUCAAAUGUUGUAUAUCAAUGGACCAAUGAGAACAGGGUUGUGUAUCUGUAUGGAUAACCUGUGUUCUGGAGUACCUCUGUAGGGUGAAAAAGAAUGUUGUUAUAAGAACAUAUCAUCAUCAGCAGAUGCCAUGCCCAGCUUGAGCUUUGACUGCCAUGGCCCACACACUCCUGUUUUGGGUCAAGUGGAUCAAUUCAUUGGUAUUCAUUUCCAGUUUUCUGGCUGCUGUCUGCAUCAUCAUUUGUCUUUGCCUUCCUCUUGCUUUCUUCCCUUCAAUCUUUCCCAUAAUUACCAUGCAUUCUAACUCCUCUUUCCUAAUCAAUGUCCAAUGAAGUCACAUUGCCUUUUCAUAAUCUCAUACGUCAUUUCUCUUUUUGUGCUUGCUCUGUUCAUGACUUCCUCAUUAGACAUUCGUUUUGUCCAUGAUAUCCUUUACAUCCUCCUCAAAAAUCACAUCUCUGCUGCUUCAAUUUGUUUCCUCAUGUUACUAGAUAUUGUCCAACAUUCUGAGCCAUAUAGCAUCGCUGGAUAAACGUAAUAUUUCAGUGCUCUGAGGUGGAUUGUCAUGCCUAGUUUAGUGUUGGUCAGUAUACUCUUCAUUCUUGUAAUGGUGUCUUUUGCCAUCGUUAUUCUUCUUUUGGUGUCCAUGUCGCACCUGCCAUCUGAUGUCACCCAGCUUCCUCAGUAGCAAAAGGACAAGACCCCAAAGCCUUGACUUGGUCUUGCGAGAGCAGGAACACAGAGCCUUGGUCUUGAGAGGGUCAGGAACACAGAGCCUUGGUCUUGAGAGGGUCAGGAACACAGAGCCUUGGUCUUGAGAGGGGCAGGAACACUGAGCCUUGGUCUUGAGAGGGGCAGGAACACAGAGCCUUGGUCUUGAGAGGGGCAGGAACACAGAGCCUUGGUCUUGAGAGGGGCAGGAACACUGAGCCUUGGUCUUGAGAGGGGCAGGAACACAGAGCCUUGGUCUUGAGAGGGUCAGGAACACGGAGCCUUGGUCUUGAGAAGGGCAGGAACACAAGGACAUGGAACACAGAGCCAGGACCCCACCUUAGGAACAGGACUUGGGGCCGGGGCUCUACACAGAGUCAGGACCCCACCUAGCGAGCAGGAUGUAGGACUGGGACUCGUACACAGAGAGACGGUUCCCAACACAAGGUAGCAGCAAAUGGCCAGUCCUACCUAGCAAAGGUGUGGACACAGAGACAGUUCUAAACAACGAUAGACAUUUCCUUAUCUAGACACAGCAAAGCUUUGUUUUUGCUCUGGUGGUAGAACUUGACAGCGAUACAGGCGAGGACACAGGCAAAGCUUCAGGAGGAAGGUGAAGGGAAGGGAAGGGAACAGUCCUGCCUCAGGGUAACGGCAAAGACAGCCUGGCUUACCCAACAGAGGCAAAGACAAGAAGAGGCAGAUCCAACCACAGCAUAACAGGAAAGCCAGCCUAACUCACCCUAGAGGUAAGGACAGGAUACUGAUGAGAUGAACCACCAACCACACUUGAACUCAGGGCCACUUAAAUUCCCAGCCCCAAACAAGCAUCAGGUGCCUAUGAUUACGCCCAACUGAAACAAGUGACAGCCAGAAGUCCCGGAGUCUGGAGUCCAUGGACUGGACCGUGAACCAGAAUGCGGACUUCACGGACCAGACCAUGAUAAGUUCUUCCUCCCUACUUGCAAUUAACACUGAGUCAUCCACAUAUCUAAAAUUAUUGAUGUUUUCACCUCCAACCUUGAUUCCCAAGAUGUCUCUUAUUUUUUGUGAUAUUGUUUCACUGUAAA
Molecule: long non-coding RNA, 9709 nt
Organism: Hypanus sabinus (Atlantic stingray)
Lineage: Eukaryota; Metazoa; Chordata; Chondrichthyes; Myliobatiformes; Dasyatidae
Exons: 3
Source: RefSeq, a predicted model, not a curated record